This 253-nucleotide ribosomal RNA is filed under the name uncultured bacterium. RNAcentral describes it as "partial 16S ribosomal RNA". It matches the Rfam family "Bacterial small subunit ribosomal RNA", at positions 524 to 776 of the family's 1533-position model. The record is from RNAcentral.
UACGAAGGGGGCUAGCGUUGCUCGGAAUCACUGGGCGUAAAGGGUGCGUAGGCGGGUCUUUAAGUCAGGGGUGAAAUCCUGGGGCUCAACUCCAGAACUGCCUUUGAUACUGAAGAUCUUGAGUUCGGGAGAGGUGAGUGGAACUGCGAGUGUAGAGGUGAAAUUCGUAGAUAUUCGCAAGAACACCAGUGGCGAAGGCGGCUCACUGGCCCGAUACUGACGCUGAUGUGCGAAAGCGUGGGGAGCAAACAGG